Poecilia latipinna (sailfin molly) is the source of this 703-nucleotide long non-coding RNA. RefSeq lists it as uncharacterized. The record is from RefSeq and is a predicted model, not a curated record. NCBI's taxonomy places the organism in Eukaryota, Metazoa, Chordata, Actinopteri, Cyprinodontiformes, Poeciliidae. The transcript is spliced from 4 exons.
GCAGCUGAGCAGAGAGGUCUGCCACAGCAAGGCGAGGAAAGGAACCUUUAAUGAACCAACUGCGUAGCUUCUCAAACUGCAAAAAGAAGCAGAUCAAUGGCUGUCUUAAGAGUUAAAGCCGUUUUCCUCCUGUUCGUUCUGCUGACUCUGCUCUGCCCUGCAAGUUCUUGGAUUGAGGACGACGACCUCAAAGUUAUAAGAAGAGACAUUCAGAAACUGCAACGUGAUGCUGCCAGGAGAAAAGCAAUUAACACAGUUGACCUUAAUUUCAUUCCUGGGAUCAUAGAUGAUGUCACACAGUUAAUGGACAGUUUGGUGGAAAUGCUGAGGGGAACUGUGCCAAAUUUUUUGCUAAGAAUCAUAAGAGAGAUAAUCGACUUCCUGGAGGAAAUGAAAGGUUUUGCUAUUAAAGAGCUGCUGAAUCAAGCUGCAAAUAUCAAGAACAGCACAGAGAAGCUGACACAACUGGAAACUCUUGUGACAAACCUAGCAGAGAAAAGAAAUAUAUGUUUUAUUCUGUCUCUGCUCUGACUUACUGAAGUGAUUUCUCUUUUAUAAAAUCAUCAUGUAUUCUUGACAAUUACCAACAAUAAAUUCUGUCUAACUCCAGUUUCAUGUUUCUUUGUCUUCACACUUCAACAAUCCUAAUGCAACAAUAAAUCACUAAACCACACAAGCUGCUUACAUAUUGAGAUGCCGGUUA